GAUAUAUAGAGCUAUGGUUGAAUUUUUGUAUAAAGAUGAACUUUUGAGAGGAGAUUGUAGAUUUCCUUUGAAGUUAUUGAAAACCUAAUCUAUCAGCAAAUGAUUAGCUAUGAUUUGGUAUAUCCAAGAAUGUUAGAAAAUUUCUAGAUAUUUUAGAAAUCCUUAUGUACAAACCUUCUUAAAUAUAAAAGGGUUUAUUAGUACAAUAUCUUUUUGAUAUUGUAGUAUUUAUUUGUCUUCUACUUUUAAGGUUA
RNAcentral lists this long non-coding RNA (254 nucleotides) under Physcomitrium patens. Its description in RNAcentral is "long non-coding RNA (PPAT_LNC011039)". The record is from RNAcentral. Lineage: Eukaryota; Viridiplantae; Streptophyta; Bryopsida; Funariales; Funariaceae.